The submitters of this non-coding RNA (60 nucleotides) gave its source as unclassified sequences. The record is from Rfam.
AAUGGUCCUCGGUAGUGGUUUCCGGAUGAUUCAUCCGUGAACUUCGAUCGAAGAUACAUU